Molecule: ribosomal RNA, 406 nt
Filed under: uncultured bacterium
Lineage: Bacteria
Description: partial 16S ribosomal RNA
Rfam family: Bacterial small subunit ribosomal RNA
Source: RNAcentral
AUUGAACGCUGGCGGCAGGCCUAACACAUGCAAGUCGAGCGAGCGGCGGACGGGUGAGUAAUGUCUGGGAAACCGCCUGAUGGAGGGGGAUAACCACUGGAAACGGUAGCUAAUACCGCAAACUAUCAGAUGUGCCCAGAUGGGAUUAGCUAGUAGGUGGGGUAAAGGCUCACCUAGGCGACGAUCCCUAGCUGGUCUGAGAGGAGGACCAGCCACACUGGAACUGAGACACGGUCCAGACUCCUACGGGAGGCAGCAGUGGGGAAUAUUGCACAAUGGGCGCAAGCCUGAUGCAGCCAUGCCGCGUGUGUGAAGAAGGCCUUCGGGUUGUAAAGCACUUUCAGCGAGGAGGCGUUACUCGCAGAAGAAGCACCGGCUAACUCCGUGCCAGCAGCCGCGGUAAUUC